AGAGACUUAGGUUAACCUUAAACCAAAAGCCUUCAAAGCUUUAAAUGAGGGUUAAAACCCCUCAGACUCUG
RNAcentral lists this transfer RNA (71 nucleotides) under Astyanax mexicanus (Mexican tetra). RNAcentral describes it as "tRNA-Trp". It matches the Rfam family "tRNA". From Rfam's summary of the family: Transfer RNA (tRNA) molecules are approximately 80 nucleotides in length. The record is from RNAcentral. Lineage: Eukaryota; Metazoa; Chordata; Actinopteri; Characiformes; Acestrorhamphidae.